CGCCACCACCGCCGGCCCUCGGCUCUUUCCGCCGGCACCAGCCGGAAACCUCCGAAGCGGCGAGGAACGGGAGGGGGGCGCGCCUCCUCCUCUCGGCCGCGGAUUACGGGUGAAUUCCGGAAACACCCGAAGAAGACAAGAAAGCUCACAGAAAAGAGAAACCGGUAGAAAAUGAGGAUUCCUCAGGAUGGAGAAGUUCCCUUCCUUUCCUGGACUUCAGCGUCAUCAAUAAAGUGAGGUCCCUCUCAUCUUUUGAGAGCCCCCAGCUCCCACAGGAAGUUCACUUUCACUUCCCCCUAGACUUGUCUCACCAGGGAGAGGCAGUAGGCUGGUUUCAGUCCUCGGGCUCUAAGCUGCCCCCACCCACUGUACCCUGGACGUGUUGGAACUCGCCCCACCCCACCCCAGGGCUCAACAGCAGCUUAAGGUGGGCAGAAGCCAGAGUCCCCACAGGAGCCAGAGACCAGGCUCAAGCAGCAAGUCCCCGAAGGUACAGGAGCAGAGAGGCCCCAGGACUUGUGGGGGAAAGUGCUGGAUGGACCUCUGACACUUGACUUUCAACUCCCAUCUUGAGCAGAGCCCUCAGCCAAGUCGCCCAGAGAAACAGGCAGCUGGACAGAUGCAACGAGGGACGGUAUGGAGUACUUCCUGAGGCAACAGGUGCCACCUACAGUCCUCCAGGACACCUCCCCAUGGCCCGUUCUGGCUCCAGUCAGGCGCCCGGUCAUUGAGGAAGAAGCUGAUGAAGGAGCACAGAAGGAGGUUUCCUAUGCUGCAGUCCUAACCCUCAAGGUGAUGGUGAUGGCCUUGGGAGGUGAUGAGGUCUGGAGGGCCCUGCAUGGCCUACUGGGCAGAAUGAGAUUGGUGCCUUCAUAAAAGGGGCCCCACAGGUCUCCCCAGUCCCUUCCUCCACGUGAGGACACAGCAAGAAGACUGCCGUCUGUGAGCCGGGAAGCAGGCUCUGAACCUGCCAGAGCCUUGAUCUUGGACUCCCAGCUUCCAGAAUUGAUAAGCAAGCGCUGCAAGGAAGGACUGGCAGAGAUCGGAGCAACCUGUGGGGGCAUGAAGAAGACGGGCCCUCAAGGAGUUCCCAUCUCAGGAGGAUGUCGGAUGGGCCUUGGACUUGCCGACCUGGAGCUGGCAGAGACAGCUGGUACCAGCUGGUGUCCAGGGCUCUAACUGGCUUUCUGGUGGGGGCGGGGCUGGCUAGGCCGGACUCACCAGUGUGCCAAGAUAAUGUCCCCAUGUACCCACUGCUAUACAGUCACAGCUGGAGCUGUCAGGGUGUCUGGAGAUGAAAUUACCACUUUCCUCCCCUGCCGCCCUCCCUGGGAAGAAGAGCCCGAGCCCCAAGGAGAGUAGGGAUAUUUUGUGGUUCCUGGGAGUGUCCUUGGUGCCUCCUGUGGGGCCUGGGAUGUAGCAGGCUGUCUGUGAAUCCCCCAGGAAUGAAAGCCACAGAGCUUUGGCUCACCUCGUCCCCUCUGCCUGGAAUUCCCUUUCCCCAUUUAACUGCAUGACAUACUUAAAUGUCCCCUCCUGAGGAAGCCCUCUGCAGCCCCCACCUCAAAACCACAUCCCUUCAUGGAUGAACAUGCCAAAUGGUGUCACACGGGUGCAAUCAGCCAAAUCCUGAAUGGAGGAAAUUCUAUUCACGGAACAAGCCACCAUGUUCUUAAACAAGAGAAAAAAAAGGAAAGAAAGGCUGUCACAAGUUGAAAUACAAUGUGUGAACCUCACUUAGCUCCUGAUUCAAAGAUCAGCUGGGAAAAGAGACUCAUGGAAGACUUCUGGAGAUAGGUUGCACACCAAUGAGAGCGUACUUACUACUGCUACACUUGCAGAUGGUUCAGAUGGCAAAUUUUAUGGCAUAUGCAUAUUUUCACUGCAGUUAGAAAAUUUAAAACAAAAAGACAUACAUGGACUGAUUGGGAAAUAUGAAUACUGACUGGAUAUUAGAUGACAUUAAGGGAUUAUUAAUUUUUUUUGAGAUUUUAUUUAUUCAUUUGAGAGAGAGAGAGAGAGAGGGCAUGAGUGAGGGGAGGGGCAGAGGGAGAGGGAGAAGCAGGCUUCCUGCUGAAUAGGGAGCCUGAUUCGGGGCUCGAUCCCAGGUCCCCGAGAUCAUGACCUGAGCCGAAGGCAGUCGCUUAACCAACUGAGCCACCCAGGUGCCCCUUUUUUUAAAGAUUUUAUUUAUUUAUUUGAGAGAGAAAGAGAGAGAGCACAAGCAGGGGGAGCGGCAGGCAGAGGGAGAAGCAGUCUCCCCACUGAGCAGGAAGCCCGAUGCGGGACUUGAUCCCAGGACCCUGGGAUCAUGACCUGAGCUGAAGGUAGACGCUUAACCUACUGAGCCACCCAGUACCCCUUCUCUACUUUUGGGUGUGUUUGAAAAUGUCUAUGAUCAGAAAAUAAAUUAAGAAGAAAAAAAAGAAAAAAUAGCGCCCCUCUAUCAUGCCCUGUUUUUCUUCCAUGCACUCAUCCCGGCCGGACAUACUGAGAACCUCCCCGUUUACUGUCCAUCUCACCCAGAAUGGCCCUUGGUUCUCUUGUCCACAUCGGCGUCCCGAGUGCCUGGAACUCACAGUGCAUGCCUCUCACCCAGCUCACAGCCUGGGCUGGGGCUCCAGGACCUCUUGAGCUUAGCAUUGAACCCCUGUACAGGUUUGGUUAUCUCGACCCCAGCCGUGACUUCAGAGGGCUGUGGGUGAGUGUCUCAGAGGCAAACUGCUCAUCCAGGAAGAUGUGGGUGCCACAGGCAAGAAGACUUGCUCUAGGUCAGGGAGGGGUGGAGGGGAAAGGGCGGGUUCUGGGAUAGGAGAAGCUCCCCCUGCCCUGCCCUCCUAGAGCCCCCCAAGCUCACGUGGACACUCUUGUACCUGUCCCUGCUUUUGUAGCUCCCAAGUACCAAGCCCAGCCUGAGUCAGGGUCAGAGGUUGCUGAGUGAGGCCAGGACCAGCAAGCAGGGCCCUCCCAAGGGGCCAGGAGGCAUUUUCUGGAAAAGGAACAGGGGAGGAGCAGGACUCCCUCCACCUCAAAGCCCUCAGCUUGGUUCCCAGACAUUGUCACCUGGGAUGGUGAGAUGAGCGCCCUUCUGCAUCUGCUGUGAGUCCCUUCAGCUGGCACUGCCAGGAGCAAGCUAUGAUCCCAGCAGGUGCUGGGACCUCGGUGGGGGCUCUGGA
This is a long non-coding RNA of Mirounga angustirostris (Northern elephant seal), 3176 nucleotides long. RefSeq lists it as uncharacterized. The transcript is spliced from 4 exons. Lineage: Eukaryota; Metazoa; Chordata; Mammalia; Carnivora; Phocidae. The record is from RefSeq and is a predicted model, not a curated record.